AUGCUUCCCAAGUUAAAAGCCCACUCUUUCUACCAAAUUACUCAGGGGAAUAUUGCCCUCUGGAGUUCCCCAUGGUGUUCUUCCUGGUCCACUAUUCAUAAUCAUCUCAUCAUUCAGCCACCUGGCUUUAUUUAUCCUGCUCAGGUUAAGGAUCUAUGGAUUCCUGGGCAAAAAACUUGGAACAACAAUCUUAUUCAUUCUCUUUUCCAAGAGCCUAUGGCCACUUUUAUUACUCAAACCUCCAUCAUUCAGGAUGACUGCCCAGAUAUUCUCUGUUGGGACCUCGCUCUGAGUGGCAAAUGCACUUCUAAAUCCACUUAUAAAUUGUGCUUGCAGGAUAUUCAAAGCAUUCCCAGGAAUACUCCCUCUCAACUAUCUUUGCAGGUUAAAAAUCUUCUCACUCAGGUUUGGAAGCAAAAGUUGAUUGCACCCCGUGUCCAAACUUUCACAUGGAGACUUCUUCGAAAAGCUCUUCCUACAGGUUUGCGAGCGGGCCGCUUUUCAAUUCACAUUUCUAAAUCAUGUUGCAGGUGUGGUGAGGAUGAAAAUGAAAUGCAUCUCUUUUUUCUUUGCGAUUUUGCUAGAGCAGCCUGGUUUGGCCACCCUUGGUAUAUUAGAUCUGAUGGCUUGGUUCAAAAUCAUUUCUCUAUGCACAGUAUUAUUCUCAGUUUACUAAAUAUGAAUCAUCUCAUGCAUCUAUAUCUAACAUACUAA
Molecule: ribosomal RNA, 714 nt
Filed under: Triticum aestivum (bread wheat)
Lineage: Eukaryota; Viridiplantae; Streptophyta; Magnoliopsida; Poales; Poaceae
Description: partial small subunit ribosomal RNA
Source: RNAcentral